AUGCAGCGACAAAGGGGUGUGAUGGGACAACAUGCAGCCAUGCUGUGCCAGACGAGCCCCCACCCCAGGGUGCCCACUCCCAAAAGGAGCAGGGCUGAAAGGCAGAGCAGCACCCACUCAAUGUACCGGGAAGGGGAGCACCUGCGCCGUGCCGUGCGGGGCCCCAACCGCCGCCGCAGCGCAUCCAGCUCAGCUGCACGGUCCUUCCUGCAGGCAGAGCACAGCAGGGUCAGGGACACGGAUAGGGACAGGAUGGGGAUGGAGGGUGCUCUGGAGCUGGGAUCCUCACAGCGUGGCCUCGAGCUCCCGCUGCUUCUCCUCGCAUCGCUCCCCACGUGCCCUCAGUGCUCUCCGCUGCUCCGCCACCUCCUCCAGCCUCUGCUGCAGCCCCAGCGCCCGCUCUGCGCCCUGAGCCAGCUCCUCUGCGGGGCAAAGGGACGCCCUGAGCUGAUCGCGUGGCCAGGUGACAUCCGUGUGGGUUUGGGGUUUGAGGUUGGGUGGACAGACGCACCUUGCAGUGCUGUGUUCCUGUGGGACAGCUCAGCCCUGUCACGCCGCAGCCCCUCCAGCUCAUCCUGCAGCGCUGUGAUGUUGGCUUCCAGCCUGGCCUGGGGACACCGUGGCACUGAGAUGGGGCACAGCCUGCCCCUGCCUCGCUGUCAUCCUCCCCGGUGUCUCCAGAGCCAUCCCUGUACUCUUGGUGGCUUUGUGUCCCGUUGUCACACAGGGAAGGUUUCUCCAAGGGUUUGGGGAUGGAUUUGGGGGAAAUUCACACACCAAAGGGCCAGCUGGUGCCUGGUCUUGGUGAGAAUGCACAUAGAGACCCAAAAGGUCUGCAACUCACUGAGGCACACAGAGCCCCCUGCCCAGCCAUGCGCUCCUGGAGGGGCCAGGCGCUCCUGCUGGACAGCAGCACCUCCCACUGGGACCCCACAGCCGGCGCCAGCCCUGAACACCAGAGCGUUUCCAGCCCCUCUGGGCCAUUGUCCGGCCGGAUGGGGGGAGAGGUGGGCCCCUCUUCCUCUGGCCGCAGUGCAGGGCCGAGCCCUUUCCCAGCUGCUAAAAAUACCCCCGAGGAGAGGAGCUCCACACCAGCCUGCAGCCUCCACUGCUGCUUUGGGAUGCAGUAAUUAUAUGUGUGUGGAGCAGCUCAGUUUGGGCACUGCUAAGAAUAGCCAUCCCAAGCUGGGCACAGGGAACCGGACAGCAGCUCUCCAUACCCCACCGAGGGCUGAGGCUCCCCAGCAACCAAACCACCCUGGAGACGGAGCAUCCUCAGGGGCCCCUUCUCAGCCCAGCAUCACUCUCCCCAAGUAUACAACCCCAUAG
Molecule: long non-coding RNA, 1329 nt
Filed under: Phasianus colchicus (ring-necked pheasant)
Lineage: Eukaryota; Metazoa; Chordata; Aves; Galliformes; Phasianidae
Description: lncRNA (ENSPCLG00000012363.1)
Source: RNAcentral